AGUGAACGCUGGCGGUAGGCCUAACACAUGCAAGUCGAACGGCAGCACAGUAAGAGCUUGCUCUUACGGGUGGCGAGUGGCGGACGGGUGAGGAAUACAUCGGAAUCUACUUUUUCGUGGGGGACAACGUAGGGCAACUUACGCUAAUACCGCAUACGACCUACGGGUGAAAGCAGGGGAUCUUCGGACCUUGCGCGAUUGAAUGAGCCGAUGUCGUAUUAGCUAGUUGGCGGGGUAAAGGCCCACCAAGGCAACGAUCCGUAGCUGAUCUGAGAGGAUGAUCGGCCACACUGGAACUGAGACACGGUCCAGACUCCUACGGGAGGCAGCAGUGGGGAAUAUUGGACAAUGGGCGCAAGCCUGAUCCAGCCAUACCGCGUGAGUGAAGAAGGCCUUCGGGUUGUAAAGCCCUUUUGUUGGGAAAGAAAAGCAGCAGGUUAAUACCCCGCUGUUCUGACGGUACCCAAAGAAUAAGCACCGGCUAACUUCGUG
This 492-nucleotide ribosomal RNA is filed under the name uncultured bacterium. RNAcentral's name for it is "partial 16S ribosomal RNA". It matches the Rfam family "Bacterial small subunit ribosomal RNA", at positions 29 to 507 of the family's 1533-position model. The record is from RNAcentral.